GAUGAACGCUGGCGGCGUGCCUAAUACAUGCAAGUCGAGCGAACGGACGAGAAGCUUGCUUCUCUGAUGUUAGCGGCGGAAGGGUGAGUAACACGUGGAUAACCUACCUAUAAGACUGGGAUAACUUCGGGAAACCGUAGCUAAUACCGGAUAAUAUUUUGAACCGCAUGGUUCAAAAGUGAAAGACGGUCUUGCUGUCACUUAUAGAUGGAUCCGCGCUGCAUUAGCUAGUUGGUAAGGUAACGGCUUACCAAGGCAACGAUGCAUAGCCGACCUGAGAGGGUGAUCGGCCACACUGGAACUGAGACACGGGCCAGACUCCUACGGGAGGCAGCAGUAGGGAAUCUUCCGCAAUGGGCGAAAGCCUGACGGAGCAACGCCGCGUGAGUGAUGAAGGUCUUCGGAUCGUAAAACUCUGUUAUUAGGGAAGAACAUAUGUGUAAGUAACUGUGCACAUCAUGACGGUACCUAAUCAGAAAGCCACGGCUAACUACGUG
Molecule: ribosomal RNA, 497 nt
Filed under: uncultured bacterium
Lineage: Bacteria
Description: partial 16S ribosomal RNA
Rfam family: Bacterial small subunit ribosomal RNA
Source: RNAcentral